UGUGACCUUUGCCAUCCUGCACAGAUGGGA
This 30-nucleotide non-coding RNA is filed under the name Homo sapiens (human). The record is from RNAcentral. Lineage: Eukaryota; Metazoa; Chordata; Mammalia; Primates; Hominidae.